This 279-nucleotide ribosomal RNA is filed under the name uncultured bacterium. RNAcentral describes it as "partial 16S ribosomal RNA". It matches the Rfam family "Bacterial small subunit ribosomal RNA", at positions 506 to 784 of the family's 1533-position model. The record is from RNAcentral.
UGCCAGCCGCCGCGGUAAUACGAAGGGUGCUAGCGUUGUUCGGAAUUACUGGGCGUAAAGAGCAUGUAGGCGGAUGAAUUAGUCAGGCGUGAAAGCCCGAGGCUCAACCUCGGAAUAGCGCUUGAUACUGAACUGCUUGAGACCGGAAGAGGGUAGUGGAAUUCCCAGUGUAGAGGUGAAAUUCGUAGAUAUUGGGAAGAACACCAGUGGCGAAGGCGGCUACCUGGUCCGGAUCUGACGCUGAGGCGCGAAAGCGUGGGGAGCAAACAGGAUUAGAUA